RNAcentral lists this ribosomal RNA (253 nucleotides) under uncultured bacterium. RNAcentral's name for it is "partial 16S ribosomal RNA". It matches the Rfam family "Bacterial small subunit ribosomal RNA", at positions 524 to 776 of the family's 1533-position model. The record is from RNAcentral.
GACAGAGGGGGCAAGCGUUGCUCGGAAUUACUGGGCGUAAAGGGCGCGUAGGCGGGAUGGCAAGUCGGUCGUGAAAUCCCUCGGCUCAACUGAGGAUCGUCGAUCGAUACUGCCGUUCUUGAGGAUUGCAGAGGAGACUGGAAUUCCCGGUGUAGCGGUGAAAUGUGUAGAGAUCGGGAGGAAUACCGGUGGCGAAGGCGGCAUCCUGGACCGGCAUUGACGCUGAGGAGCGAAAGCCAGGGGGGCAAACGGG